Molecule: long non-coding RNA, 2468 nt
Organism: Cyclopterus lumpus (lumpfish)
Lineage: Eukaryota; Metazoa; Chordata; Actinopteri; Perciformes; Cyclopteridae
Source: Ensembl
UUCAGGAUGCAGCGGAAGAAACACCCUCCAACCACACCUUCCUCCUGCAUCAUCACCUAUAAGCCAUAGCGCUGAUGUCUCCUGAUUUAAAACCUUCCCUCAAGCUUCACAGACACAGAGAAGCAGAAUCUGCCAACAAAGAAGUUUCCUGCUGCGCAACACUUGACUUUUACAGCUCAGAAUGGAAGGUGUCUUCAUCCUGCUGGUGGCGGCGCUGGUCGUUUGUGUCCAAGGAACGUCUCAUUUGUCCUUUUCCAACAACACUGAGGUGAACAUCACACUCGACGGCUGCGGAGCCACUAAAUUGUGCCUGUCGACCCCAGACAGCUGCGACCCCGCCGGGCAGAGCGCCUGUCUGUUCGCGUCCGCGGCCGUCGUGACCACCAGCCCCCCGGUGGCCGACAGCGUUGAGCUGGCCGUCGAACUCCGAGGAGACUCCGGAGGGUACAUCGCACUGGGCCUCAUUUCGAGUACCUCGCCGGGAACCACCAUGCAGUUUGUUUGCGCUGCAAACACAACAAACAACGGGGCGAUCUUCUUCAGGACGUUGCAGAGGAACAACACCGACGAAGCGCUCAUUCCCACGGAGACGAGGGUGAAAGAAAUCCGCGGCACGGUGGCUGGAACUGUGAUCAAGUGCGAGUUCAACAUAGAGUCCCUGAACGCCACCAACAUCUUCAACGUCCUUGUGUAACCGUCCACUUCCUGUUCAGCUGCUGUCGGCCCCUUCAAUAUCGACCUGGACGCCGGCGCUGUGAUCCUGACCACCACUAUGACCGACACCACUGUGACCGGCACCACUGUGACCAACACCACUGUGACCGGCACCACUGUGACCAACACCACUGUGACCGACACCACUGUGACCAACACCACUGUGACCAACACCACUGUGACCGGCACCACUGUGACCGGCACCACUGUGACCAACACCACUGUGACCGGCACCACUGUGACCAACACCACUGUGACCGGCAGCGGUGGAGCUGUCCGGCCUCAUGGUAAACGACACUCCGCCGUCAUGUGUGUGGAUCUGAAUGAUGAUCUUCGCCCGAUAAUGGAAGUUUUGUCAAGGAAAUUGAUGUAUGAUCAAAAGCUCCAAUAUCAUGAGUUAUGUUUAUUGACUCUAAAUGCAGUUUAUAAAUAACAUUUUAAGUAAUAUAUUGAUAUGCAUGCAGCUUGUCUACCGUGGUUAUAAUUACAAAAACACACUUUUACUCGUACCUCUAUUGUAGCCUCGCCAGGUUCUUUGUGUGUUUGGCCUCCACCCAAAAGCAAUGGAGAUGAAUAAAGUCAUCUGUGGUGCUCAAAAUGUGUCCAGAAAUGUAUCAUAUACGGAGUGACCAAAGAGCUCUUCCACUUCAGAGGUGACUAAUAAAUAAAUGACGGUAUGUUUAGUGAACCAGGGACAUGGUUUAUGGAAAGAUGAAGCUGAGCUUUAUUAGUCUAGUUUUUCAACUUCCAUUUGAGGUGUAAAUCUCAGAUUAGAUGUCUCACCACAGUUAAUGCAACCAAAAUAAAACCUAUUUGUGACUGCAGUGAGAAUGGAACAUUAACCCUUUGUGUUCCCUCUCCAGCUGUGCUGCUCCUGCUGAGCGUCCUCACACUGUCGGUCAUGCUGAGAGCCUGAGAGGACGAAUAACAUGACGACGGUGUCAAGCUAUGUAUAAAAUGUUCUUACUGCACUUUAUUAGACAUGUUUUAACCUUUUAACUUGGUUUAUACUUUAAGAUGAAACUCACUUGUUUUAGUGACUAUAUAAUUACUUUUGUUACAUAACAUUCCAAUUCUCUCUCUACCCUCACUUCCUGUCCACUCUCAAUUAAAUAUAUAAAAUGUAAAAACAAAAACUUGGAUCCAUUUAACAAAUCAAAUUCAUUAAAACACCUUUCCAUUCAGUGAUCGCAGGCCUUGGAGUGGGUGGCUUUCUGGCAGAACACUUUGCACAGUUGCUUUCGAUGUCGAAAAACCAAUUUUGAAAAUAAUUGAAAUUUAACAUCGUUACUCGUACAAUAUCACAAUAUAAAUAAAUGUGAAGAAAAGCUGUCGCAGUAGUUUCAGUGCCAUGUUUCAAUGUUCCUGCACCACCUCUUUUCUUCUUCUUUUUUGUCCCAAAGGACAUGUAAGGUCUUCCAUGACAUGCUGUGGCAGGUCCUCCUCAUUUUAAAGUACUUACUGUGUGAGAAUCGUUUGUCAAGUUAUAAUUACAUUUCAAGCUCACAUGACCACAUUAAGUAGCCGCCAUGAUAAGAGCUGUUCAAAUUCUCUAUAUGCUAAUGAAAGGAGCUUCAAUGCUUCCUUCUUUAGCUCCUUUAGUAGUAGUAUUUACUAGUAUCAGUACAGUGAGGAUUACUGUCUACUAGUAUAAGUACAGUGCACUAAUACUAGUUGUAUGAAGUGUGUGAUAUCCGCCUACCUCGUAUAAAAGCAAUAUUUUACAUUAAACAUUCCAUAUUUAUUCCAGUGCC